GAAAUACCAAAAAAUUAAAUGGCGCGCCGAUACAUCUCCUUCUUCUUCUUCUAAAAUCCUCUACCAAAACGCCCUAAUUAUCCUUUAAGCAGUUCGUCUCUCUCUCUCUCUCUCUCUCUCUAAGCCCUAAGCCGCCACCACCAUCAUCGAACCUCAUAAUCUUUAAGAGUUCGAAGUGUCUAAGCAAACACUUCUGCCAUCUCAAGAUGUCGGUUCAAGAUCAGAACGCCACAUCGCAGUACACGAUGACAUCAUCAUCUCCACAAACCGCCGUCAACGGCGGAGAAAACGAAUGCGACUGGGUUCUUUUCUAUUACUUCCAAAUCUAACGCAGGAGGGUUUUUUUUCAAGAACAAAAACGCUCUCACUUCUCCUUGGCCUCUGCAACAAUCGAUGAUCGCAGUACCUCACCUCACCUCGCCUUGCUGACAACCUCGAGAUGCAGUUGGGGUUCCAUCAAAAUCACAUUCAUUUUCUUAUUCUUACAGAUACAAUCCCUCAUCAAAUGAUUUACCUUCAAUUUUGUUUUAAUCAAAGAAAUCUAAUAUUUUGUUUCCACCUCCUCCCAACUCUUACGAUUCCACCAUCGAAAUCCCCUGAUUCCCAAACCCUAAUUUUUAAUGAUGACAUAGUAAUCUCACGUCAAUAAUGAAAAUUGGUGACUUAGAUUCUUUUUCAAAGUUUUUGAAAGAUAGGAUGGCAGUGGACCAGAGGGUUUAUGAGGUUAUCAAUAAUGGAAGGGAGCAGGUCAGUAAUGGUGGAAGUUGGAGCUCCUCCAAGGACAUAGCUCUAUUCAAUGCUUUAAAUGUUUUCCCAUAAGAUUCAGCCUUGAGGUGGGAGAAGAUUACAACUGCUGUUCCAGGAAGAUCAAAGGCGGCUUGCAUGAAGAGGGUUGCUAAUCAAAAAAAAGAUUUUACGAGUUCAAAAGUUUCUGCUGAGGAUUAAAUCUUAAUCAAUCAAGAGCCUGAUUCUGAAGUUCAUGUACACUGGAAAGGGGCAGCUAAAAUUGUGUUGGCUGCGUGUAUAAGAUACAUGCACAUUGAUGGAGAACUUGUCCCCCUAUGUGAAGAAAAGGUAAGAGAUUUCAUCUUGAUUGAAAAAAAAAAUUCUAAUGUGUAAUUGUUUACAUUAUAGGUGGAAUAUUUUUAAAAAACAGCUAAAGAUAUGGCUUCUGGAAGCUUGCAUUGUGUUGCUAUUUCAUAUAGACCAUGUGAAGCAGAAACUAUUCUGAUAGACGAAGAUGAGAUGGCACAACGGGAGCUACCUGAGGGCGAUCUUGUCUUGCUGGCAAUUGUUGGUUUAAAGAUAAUAUAUGAAUAGUUUGUCAAGCAAUCUUUAAAAAGUUAAUGGAGAACAAAUGCCUUUCUGAGAACACAAUGCAGCAGGUAUACACAUACAUUUUUGUUUGUAUUCAACUUAUUCCAAACUGAUACUGUAAUGUAGAGAUGUAUAGUAAGUUAUGUAUAUAUUUCGGACUGCAACUUUACUGUGAUACUUGUCAGAAAUUUUUAGCUGACUGACCUGUUGAAGGUACCUGCCCUAACAAAUAAUGCAAUUAUGACUCUAUCUGAGGAGAUCAAUUUGAAAAUUGCAGUCAACUGUUGAAUCCAACAAAACUCAUUAAUCCAAGAUGCAAGGUAAAUUGCAGUCAUUUGUAAUGUUCCCUUCUACACUUCUUGGAACUUCUGAGAACUGGACUUUGUUGAAGACUAUAAGUGUUACAGAGUAUCUAAACUAUGAAGGAGGUAUUAGACAUAUUAUUCAUAUGGAUAGAUCUUCAAGCAAAACUCAACACUCAGUUGCUGAAUAAUUUAGGCAAUUUCAUUAACCGUGUCUUGAGCUUUAUUGCUAAAGAUCCAGAUUCAAGAGGUGGUAGAGGUUUAGGAUACAAUUCCAUCAUUCUGGAUGCUCCAGGUGCUGAGACACAUCUGUUAUCAAAGACACUAGGAGAUAAAAUUGGUUCUUAUGUGGAACAAUAUGUGGAGACACAUCUGUAGCAGGACAAGUUGCUGCACUUGUCCUUUGCGACACCAGAGAACUAGCUUAUCAUGUCAUAUUUUCAUUUGUAACCGUCCAACAAUUUGAAAAUGUUAAUUUUCACCCAUGUCUUACUCUUUGUGUCUUGGGUGAGAUUUGUUGCAGAGAACUAGCUUAUCAGGAACUGAAGUCAAUGUAAGUCAAAACAUGAGAAAUAUAUAAGAUCUACAUGAAAAAUUACUAAUAGAUGUGUCUGGAUGGCUUCAUCAAUACAUAAGGGUAAAGAAGAAGGCAAGAUUGGUGAAAAAUAGGGACAACAAUGAAAUCAAGGGUUUUGUAUUAAUUUGUAGCAUUCAGGCAUCCAUGGAAUCCAUUCACGACUCUCUUGCUGAGGCGUUGGUUAAAUUAACAGAGGAGUGUGCAAAAUUAUGGUCAAAAGUGUAUGUUGUCUGGCCUAAAACCAGAACUAGAAGCAUUAAGACGAAGGCACUCUGAUGGACUGGAGUUGAUGGGUGAAAGAGAUGAGUAGGUAAAAUUACCUUUUCAAUGUUUUGAAGUUUUUGAUGGAAAAGAAUAGUGUUAAUGCACUUCAUAGAAAAGUAUGUUGGUAUUUUAGGAAAUUUGGCUAAUAAUUUAGUUAAUUAUAUAAAAAUGUUGAAAUGUUACAUUUGUCUACUAUUAGAAUGAUUAUUUGAUGUAUUAAAUUUGUCUACUAUUGGAAUGAUUAUUUGUAUGACAUUAACUUUCGUGCAA
Molecule: non-coding RNA, 2730 nt
Organism: Lactuca sativa (garden lettuce)
Lineage: Eukaryota; Viridiplantae; Streptophyta; Magnoliopsida; Asterales; Asteraceae
Source: RefSeq, a predicted model, not a curated record